ACUGGGGGGGUGGCGUCCCUCAGCUCUGAUUGUGAGAGGGUGCAGGCCAGGUUGAGGGACCCCACCAGUGCAUU
RNAcentral lists this microRNA precursor (74 nucleotides) under Myotis brandtii (Brandt's bat). RNAcentral describes it as "mir-9193 microRNA precursor family". It matches the Rfam family "mir-9193 microRNA precursor family". The record is from Rfam by way of RNAcentral. Lineage: Eukaryota; Metazoa; Chordata; Mammalia; Chiroptera; Vespertilionidae.